UAGGGAAUCUUCCGCAAUGGACGAAAGUCUGACGGAGCAACGCCGCGUGUAUGAAGAAGGUUUUCGGAUCGUAAAGUACUGUUGUUAGAGAAGAACAAGGAUAAGAGUAACUGCUUGUCCCUUGACGGUAUCUAACCAGAAAGCCACGGCUAACUACGUGCCAGCAGCCGCGGUAAUACGUAGGUGGCAAGCGUUGUCCGGAUUUAUUGGGCGUAAAGCGCGCGCAGGCGGUCUUUUAAGUCUGAUGUGA
Molecule: ribosomal RNA, 250 nt
Filed under: uncultured bacterium
Lineage: Bacteria
Description: partial 16S ribosomal RNA
Rfam family: Bacterial small subunit ribosomal RNA
Source: RNAcentral